AAGGCUUCAGUACGACCCAGUCAGAACUAUAAGUCUCUAAGCCCCGAUGAGUAGGGUGGCGUGCCGGUGUGCGUUGAAGGCCACGACGUGAGUCGGGCUGGAGCCGCCGGUAGUGCAGAUCUUGGUGGUAGUAGCAAGUACUCUGGUGAACCAACCUGGAGCUGUGAGGUCUGGAUCAGGGUUCCAUGUCAACAGUGAUUGAACAUGGGUGAGUCGAUCCUAAGCCAACUGUGAAAGCAGUGACAUUCCGGCAAAGGGGCACAUGCACUCGCGGGUGUGUGUGUCGUGUCGCAGGCUCUCGCGUGUCGCUUUCUCUCUCUACUGGAUGAGGUCUAAUAGUAUUCGCGCGCACACGCGUGAGUGUGCGUGUGUGGCUGGCGGUCUGUUGUAUCUCUGUACCCUCGUAUUANGGGUUGAUGAGAAAAGAAAGUCUGUUAUAUCUCUGUACCCUCGUAUUAGGGGUCGAUGAGAAAAGAAAAAGGGAAAUGGGAGAGAGAUUGCGUGUAAGAGCUCUUCGACGACCCUGCGUCUGGUUCUAUGUCUGGCGAAAGGGAAUGGGGACUUUGUUCCUUGACCGGUCCCGGCACCCUCGAUAGGCUUUGCCAGUCAAUGGUCCAUGCAAAUGGACCCAGGCCACAGCCGCCGGCAGUCGCCCGAGGAAGAGUUUUCUUUUCUGCUUAACGCACGAGAUCAUCCCUGGAAGCAGUUCCGCUGGCGAAAGGGUGCCCCGUUGCGGCAGAGCGCCACGACUGUCGUGCGCGUCUCGGUGUACCUGCCGGUCCGUGAAGACGUGGUCGAGGGUUGCUACGCUUGUAACAAUUGAAACGCCCGACAAGUUCGGGACGGACCGUACCCUAUAUCCGCAUCUGGUCUCCAAGGUUCGUAGCCUCUGCAGAGUCAGACACAUGUAGGUAAGGGAAGUCGGCAAACUCGAUCCGUAACUUCGGAAAAAGGAUUGGCUCUGAGGGCCGAGCUGGGCCGGGCCUUGCCUGCAAAGCAGUACCUAUAGUGACCGGAGUUUCAGGAGUGCGAGGGGCUCUAGUAGCUGCUUGCGCGGGCGUGUUCACGCGCGCUCGUGUGGGCACGAACGAGUCCACCGCUCCGCUCCAACCACGAACGGCUGUGACGGCAAGGGCUCUGGGCGGGAGCGUUCAAACCGUUUGCCCCCAGCGCGUCUGGGGAGGCGGUGCUCCGUCUGACCCAUACGGCUCCAGCGGCUAGCGGCUAACUCAGAACUGUCAUGGACCAAGGGAAUCCGACUGUCUAAUUAAAACAAAGCGUCGUGACGGCCCCUGUUGGGUGUUGACGCGACGUGAUUUC
Molecule: ribosomal RNA, 1320 nt
Filed under: Niphargus gallicus
Lineage: Eukaryota; Metazoa; Arthropoda; Malacostraca; Amphipoda; Niphargidae
Description: partial large subunit ribosomal RNA
Rfam family: Eukaryotic large subunit ribosomal RNA
Source: RNAcentral